Molecule: ribosomal RNA, 253 nt
Filed under: uncultured bacterium
Lineage: Bacteria
Description: partial 16S ribosomal RNA
Rfam family: Bacterial small subunit ribosomal RNA
Source: RNAcentral
UACAGAGGUCUCAAGCGUUAAUCGGAAUCACUGGGCUUAAAGGGUGCGUAGGCGGCGAGGCAAGUGUCUUGUGAAAUCCCAUGGCUCAACCAUGGAAUUGCUCGAUAGACUGCCUCGCUUGAGGUUGGUAGGGGUCGCCGGAACUCUAGGUGGAGCGGUGAAAUGCGUAGAUAUCUAGAGGAACGCCAAAGGUGAAGACAGGCGACUGGGCCAAUUCUGACGCUGAGGCACGAAAGCGUGGGGAGCGAACGGG